Molecule: ribosomal RNA, 229 nt
Filed under: uncultured bacterium
Lineage: Bacteria
Description: partial 16S ribosomal RNA
Rfam family: Bacterial small subunit ribosomal RNA
Source: RNAcentral
CGGGGUGAGUAAUGUCUGGGAAACUGCCUGAUGGAGGGGGAUAACUACUGGAAACGGUAGCUAAUACCGCAUAACGUCUUCGGACCAAAGUGGGGGACCUUCGGGCCUCACGCCAUCGGAUGCGCCCAGAUGGGAUUAGCUAGUAGGUGGGGUAAUGGCUCACCUAGGCGACGAUCCCUAGCUGGUCUGAGAGGAUGACCAGCCACACUGGAACUGAGACACGGUCCAG